RNAcentral lists this unclassified non-coding RNA (336 nucleotides) under soil metagenome. Its description in RNAcentral is "partial contains 5.8S ribosomal RNA, internal transcribed spacer 2, and large subunit ribosomal RNA". The stretch from base 3 to 119 matches the Rfam family "5.8S ribosomal RNA", at positions 38 to 154 of the family's 154-position model. The record is from RNAcentral.
GAGAAGAACGCAGCGAAAUGCGAUAAGUAGUGUGAAUUGCAGAAUUCAGUGAAUCAUCGAAUCUUUGAACGCACAUUGCGCCCCUUGGUAUUCCAUGGGGCAUGCCUGUUCGAGCGUCAUUUGUACCCUCAAGCUUUGCUUGGUGUUGGGUGUUUGUCCCGCGUUGCGCGUGGACUCGCCUUAAAGCGAUUGGCAGCCGGCAUAUUGGCCUUGGAGCGCAGCACAUUUUGCGCUUCUAGUCAUGAAUGUUGGCGUCCAUUAAGCCUAUACAUUUGCUCUUGACCUCGGAUCAGGUAGGGAUACCAGCUGAACUUAAGCAUAUCAAUAAGCGGAGGA